This 596-nucleotide ribosomal RNA is filed under the name uncultured bacterium. RNAcentral describes it as "bacterial SSU rRNA". It matches the Rfam family "Bacterial small subunit ribosomal RNA", at positions 1 to 584 of the family's 1533-position model. The record is from RNAcentral.
AAUUCGAUUGAGUUUGAUCCUGGCUCAGGACGAACGCUGGCGGCGUGCUUAACACAUGCAAGUGGAGCGACGAAGGGACUUCGGUCCUGGCAGAGCCGCGAACGGGUGAGUAACACGUGGGUGACCUGCCCCGAUGAUUGGGACAACCCGAGGAAACUCGAGCUAAUACCAAAUGUGCUCCUUGGUCCAAAGGCCUUGGAGGAAAGGAAGCUUCGGCCUCCGCAUCGGGAUGGGCCCGCGGCGCAUUAGCUUGUUGGUGGGGUAACGGCCUACCAAGGCGACGAUGCGUAGCUGGUCUGAGAGGACGAUCAGCCACACUGGGACUGAGACACGGCCCAGACUCCUACGGGAGGCAGCAGUGGGGAAUCUUGCGCAAUGCGCGAAAGCGUGACGCAGCAACGCCGCGUGUGGGAAGACGGCCUUCGGGUUGUAAACCACUUUCAGUUGGGACGAAGGGUCAUCCGUUAAUAGCGGCUUGACUUGACGGUACCUUCACAAGAAGCCCCGGCUAACUACGUGCCAGCAGCCGCGGUAAUACGUAGGGGGCAAGCGUUGUCCGGAAUCAUUGGGCGUAAAGCGCGUGUAGGCGGGUCGGU